Molecule: long non-coding RNA, 1676 nt
Filed under: Olea europaea subsp. europaea
Lineage: Eukaryota; Viridiplantae; Streptophyta; Magnoliopsida; Lamiales; Oleaceae
Source: RNAcentral
CGGGCAGAGAGGCUGGAAACGGCAGAGGAGGAAAAGAAGAAAGAAAAGAAAAGAAAAAGAAGAAGAAAAAGAAGAGGAGAAAAAGGAAGGAAAAUAGAUAGUUCAAGCUUAUUUCCAUUCUCCUUUCUCUAUAUUUUCUUCAAGAGGUAAAUGAAUGAUUUUAUGUUAAAUUUUUAGGGUUUUAACUUGUGGUAUAAAUUUCAGAUUUAAGAGGCUAAGAGUACAAAUUGGAGCUCAAGUUUGUUGAUUCUUUAAUCUCCAAUUUCAUUAAGGUAAGAAUACUAAUUUUUGGCAAACCCUAGAUUUUAAAUUGGAUACUUGAGUAAGGAUUAAUUGUGAACAUGAUUAUGGUGAUGAUCUAUUAACUUGAAAGAAUGGAUCUAUGGAAUAAGAUAUAAAUUAGAUUGGUGCGAGUGGGAAUUCAAGUUUCACUAGAUUAGAAUAAAGAAUUGUUUUUAUUUUUGGGAUGUAGGCAAUUAUGAUAAUUUAAAGAUUAGUGAAAUGCUAGAAGGUAGAAUUUGUUUCAAUUGUGAAGGAAACUAAAGAAUAUAUUCAAGUGCCGAAAAGUCAAGUUCUAAGAUUUCAUAAUUAAAUGUUAAGAUACAUAGUAUGGGAGUUGUUAAAUUAGUUAUUUUACAUCGUAUUUCAGGUGAUGACGUGAAAGCUUGACAAGGUUGGUCAAUUUGACCAGAUUGCUAUCCAUAGAUCUAUGAGUGGAGAAUCUACGUUUCCAAAAAGAAUAUUUUCUUUUUAUUUUAUAGAAGCAAAUUAAUUACAUGAGAUGCCUUAUUUUCUUACUCUAGUGCACCGAGGGGUUAUGGCCGUGUACUAGAGUCAUGUAUUUAACUCCUAUACACUGAGGGACUACAGCCGUGUGUAAGGGCAUUUCUUAUCCACUGAGGGGCUACGACCGUGGGUAAAGGUAUCCAUUAUACAUUAAGGGGCUACAGCCGUGCAUAAAGAUGAUUAUGUUGUUUCCAUCUUGUACACUGAGGGGCUACGACUGUGUACAGAGUAUUGAUCAGAAGGUUUAUGUACGUAUGAUUUAUAGCUUUCAGAUCAUUAGUAGAUGUUUACACGGGAUAUAUUUGAUGUAAAUUUUAAUUAUAUAGAGGAUUAUUAGUCUUCAGCUUCCAGUUACCCGUUUACAGUUCAACUUAUGGAUUUCAGAUUAUAGAGUUCAAUUUAUUUAGUUCUAAGAAUAAAGCUUCCGGCUUAUAAUAUUGAGCAACAAUAUUCCAUAGAUUUUCAUGAAUACUAGAUUCUUUGUAUUCGUUAUACUUUGCAGUAAUUAAGAACAAAGAAUUUUAUAAUGCAGUCAUGCUUAGUUGAAAAGUGUUGCUAGAUUUAAGCAUUUUCUCAAACAUUUAAUAGAGAUAGAAUUAUCAGGAAAUAUGCAUAAAUGGAAAAGUACACUUAUUUUCAAUCUAUCCAUUCACUAAGUUGCAAGCUCAUAUUUUGUUAACCUUUUUCCUUAUCAGAUAGCAUCCGAGUUGAGCAGUAUUAGAGCCUGUCGAUCCACUGAAUUGAGCCACGCGUCAUUAGUUGUAUGGUCCACUUUAUGAUAUUAGGUAGUACCUGUUUCUUAGGUUACAUGUAGUUUAUGUUAGAAAAGAUUGUUAUGAGAUCACUGUAUGGUAUAUUUAGUACAUUUGAGGAUUGUUGAUAGAAAAGCA